GAGUGGGUUGUACCAGAAGUAGAUAGCUUAACCUUUUGGAGGGCGUUUACCACGGUAUGAUUCAUGACUGGGGUGAAGUCGUAACAAGGUAACCGUAGGGGAACCUGCGGUUGGAUCACCUCCUUACUGA
RNAcentral lists this ribosomal RNA (130 nucleotides) under Haemophilus influenzae. Its description in RNAcentral is "partial 16S ribosomal RNA". It matches the Rfam family "Bacterial small subunit ribosomal RNA", at positions 1408 to 1533 of the family's 1533-position model. Lineage: Bacteria; Pseudomonadati; Pseudomonadota; Gammaproteobacteria; Pasteurellales; Pasteurellaceae. The record is from RNAcentral.